GGUGAGGUGGCCGAGUGGUUAAGGCGAUGGACUGCUAAUCCAUUGGGGCCUCCCCGCCUGAGUUCGAAUCUUAUGCUCGUCG
Molecule: transfer RNA, 82 nt
Filed under: Octopus vulgaris (common octopus)
Lineage: Eukaryota; Metazoa; Mollusca; Cephalopoda; Octopoda; Octopodidae
Also listed under: 1 other name
Rfam family: tRNA
About the family: Transfer RNA (tRNA) molecules are approximately 80 nucleotides in length. Their secondary structure includes four short double-helical elements and three loops (D, anti-codon, and T loops).
Source: Rfam by way of RNAcentral